RNAcentral lists this long non-coding RNA (206 nucleotides) under Elaeis guineensis (African oil palm). RNAcentral describes it as "long non-coding RNA (EGUI_LNC032762)". Lineage: Eukaryota; Viridiplantae; Streptophyta; Magnoliopsida; Arecales; Arecaceae. The record is from RNAcentral.
UACUAAGCGCUUUGUUGUCGAGAGCAGCUUGCAAAAUAUAUGGUCAUAAGUAUCUCUCAGAUCUGAGAUAAUCAUAGUGACUUGUAAGCAACUCACUGUGCUUUGGUAUCGGACUAUCUAUAUUUCUAAUGCAGUAACGAAAGGCUACUAGGUACAGUCAAGUACAUGCGAAGUCUAUAUAUGGAUAAAGAUGGGAUUGACCCCGC